RNAcentral lists this ribosomal RNA (229 nucleotides) under uncultured soil bacterium. RNAcentral describes it as "partial 16S ribosomal RNA". It matches the Rfam family "Bacterial small subunit ribosomal RNA", at positions 26 to 257 of the family's 1533-position model. The record is from RNAcentral.
AGAUUGAACGCUGGCGGCAUGCCUUACACAUGCAAGUCGAACGGCAGCACGGGAGCAAUCCUGGUGGCGAGUGGCGAACGGGUGAGUAAUACAUCGGAACGUGCCCAAUCGUGGGGGAUAACGCAGCGAAAGCUGUGCUAAUACCGCAUAAGAUCUACGGAUGAAAGCAGGGGAUCGCAAGACCUUGCGCGAAUGGAGCGGCCGAUGGCAGAUUAGGUAGUUGGUGAGG